GACGAACCGAGCGAACGUUGUUCGGAAUCACUGGGCUUAAAGGGCGCGUAGGCGGAUUCUCAAGUCCGGGGUGAAAUCCCACAGCUCAACUGUGGAACUGCCUCGGAUACUGGGAGUCUCGAGGGUGGCAGGGGUAUGCGGAACUAUCGGUGGAGCGGUGAAAUGCGUUGAUAUCGAUAGGAACUCCGGUGGCGAAGGCGGCAUACUGGUCCACUUCUGACGCUGAGGCGCGAAAGCCAGGGGGAGCAAACGGGG
RNAcentral lists this ribosomal RNA (255 nucleotides) under uncultured bacterium. Its description in RNAcentral is "partial 16S ribosomal RNA". It matches the Rfam family "Bacterial small subunit ribosomal RNA", at positions 524 to 777 of the family's 1533-position model. The record is from RNAcentral.